This is a long non-coding RNA of Acanthopagrus latus (yellowfin seabream), 765 nucleotides long. RefSeq lists it as uncharacterized. The transcript is spliced from 3 exons. The record is from RefSeq and is a predicted model, not a curated record. Lineage: Eukaryota; Metazoa; Chordata; Actinopteri; Spariformes; Sparidae.
UGUGAAGGCAGUUUAGACAUUUAGACAUGUUGUCUUGUGGAAGCAGAGAAAGCUCAGGUGUUACAAAACUGACAACAACAACGAGCUCCGAAGCAGCUGAUUGUUAAUUCAGCCGUCAUUCGCGUGAUUAUUUCUGACUGAGUUCAGUGUGGAAAUCACCUGUUUGGAGUUGUCGACAGCCUCCGUCCACCAGAAUCAGCUCCCUGUGAGUCAGGAGCGUCGCGCUUUUUUUUUGUUUUUUUUGUUUUUUUGGUGAGGGAUUUCCUGGCUGGCUGUCUCUCCACCGGCACAUUCUGCCUUUGCCCUGGAUGAUGCGCUCCUCUUCCCGAGCAUGACACACUUACUGGGCUGCAGAGCCGAGCCACGGGACAGAGACACGGCGAGGAGGAGCGAGCCGUGAGGACAGAGUCACACGAAGGAGAGGAAGAGGAAGAUGAUGAUGAUGAUGAUGAGGAGGAGAAGCAGAUGAGAGCUCAUAAUGAUGAUAUCGACGUAGAGAAGGAAGGGAAACAAAUCUGUGCGGGGAGGAGGAUGCUGAGAGUGAUGAUGAUGAUGAUGAUGAUGAUGAUGGUGGUGCUGUGAGGACGGGACCUGCUCGGAGGAGAGAAGGUGGAUGCUGCUGCCGCUCGGACGCUUCUUCUUCUUCUUCUUCUUCUUCUUUAUCUUCUUCCUGUUCUCCUUCUGCUCAGUGUUGAUCAUCGUGCGGGGAAAAUCUCGGGUAUCAGCGAGAGUUUAACGAAGCGCUAUUCUGAGGAGGUGGGCCAA